RNAcentral lists this ribosomal RNA (2878 nucleotides) under Burkholderia pseudomallei MSHR332. RNAcentral describes it as "bacterial LSU rRNA". It matches the Rfam family "Bacterial large subunit ribosomal RNA". Lineage: Bacteria; Pseudomonadati; Pseudomonadota; Betaproteobacteria; Burkholderiales; Burkholderiaceae. The record is from RNAcentral.
UCAAGCGAACAAGUGCAUGUGGUGGAUGCCUUGGCGAUCACAGGCGAUGAAGGACGCGGUAGCCUGCGAAAAGCUACGGGAGCUGGCAAACGAGCUUUGAUCCGUAGAUGUCCGAAUGGGGAAACCCGGCCCUUUUGGGUCAUCCUAGACUGAAUACAUAGGUCUAGUGAAGCGAACGCGGUGAACUGAAACAUCUAAGUAACCGCAGGAAAAGAAAUCAACCGAGAUUCCCAAAGUAGUGGCGAGCGAAAUGGGAAGAGCCUGUACUCUUUAUUUGUAUUGUUAGCCGAACGCUCUGGAAAGUGCGGCCAUAGCAGGUGAUAGCCCUGUAGGCGAAAACAGUAUGAAAGAACUAGGUGUACGACAAGUAGGGCGGGACACGUGAAAUCCUGUCUGAAGAUGGGGGGACCAUCCUCCAAGGCUAAAUACUCGUGAUCGACCGAUAGUGAACCAGUACCGUGAGGGAAAGGCGAAAAGAACCCCGGGAGGGGAGUGAAAUAGAUCCUGAAACCGCAUGCAUACAAACAGUCGGAGCCUCGCAAGGGGUGACGGCGUACCUUUUGUAUAAUGGGUCAGCGACUUACGUUCAGUAGCAAGCUUAACCGAAUAGGGCAGGCGUAGCGAAAGCGAGUCCGAAUAGGGCGUUCAGUUGCUGGGCGUAGACCCGAAACCAGGUGAUCUAUCCAUGGCCAGGAUGAAGGUGCGGUAACACGUACUGGAGGUCCGAACCCACUAACGUUGAAAAGUUAGGGGAUGAGCUGUGGAUAGGGGUGAAAGGCUAAACAAACCUGGAAAUAGCUGGUUCUCUCCGAAAACUAUUUAGGUAGUGCCUCGUGUCUCACCUUCGGGGGUAGAGCACUGUCAUGGUUGGGGGGUCUAUUGCAGAUUACCCCGCCAUAGCAAACUCCGAAUACCGAAGAGUGCAAUCACGGGAGACAGACAUCGGGUGCUAACGUCCGGUGUCAAGAGGGAAACAACCCAGACCGCCAGCUAAGGUCCCCAAAUAUGGCUAAGUGGGAAACGAAGUGGGAAGGCUAAAACAGUCAGGAGGUUGGCUUAGAAGCAGCCACCCUUUAAAGAAAGCGUAAUAGCUCACUGAUCGAGUCGUCCUGCGCGGAAGAUGUAACGGGGCUAAGCCAUAUACCGAAGCUGCGGAUGCGAGCUAGUCUCGCAUGGUAGGAGAGCGUUCCGUAAGCCUGCGAAGGUGCGUUGAAAAGCGUGCUGGAGGUAUCGGAAGUGCGAAUGCUGACAUGAGUAGCGAUAAAGGGGGUGAAAGGCCCCCUCGCCGUAAGCCCAAGGUUUCCUACGCAACGUUCAUCGGCGUAGGGUGAGUCGGCCCCUAAGGCGAGGCAGAAAUGCGUAGCUGAUGGGAAGCAGGUCAAUAUUCCUGCACCAUUGUUAGAUGCGAUGGGGGGACGGAUCGCGGAAGGUUGUCCGGGUGUUGGAAGUCCCGGUCGCUGCAUUGGAGAAGGCGCUUAGGCAAAUCCGGGCGCAGGAUUCAAGGGUGUGGCGCGAGCGCUCUAGGGCGCGAAGCAAUUGGAAGUGGUUCCAAGAAAAGCCUCUAAGCUUCAGUCUAACGAUGACCGUACCGCAAACCGACACAGGUGGGCGAGAUGAGUAUUCUAAGGCGCUUGAGAGAACUCGGGAGAAGGAACUCGGCAAAUUGGUACCGUAACUUCGGGAUAAGGUACGCCCUGGUAGCUUGACUGGCCUGCGCCAGAAGGGUGAAGGGGUUGCAAUAAACUGGUGGCUGCGACUGUUUAAUAAAAACACAGCACUCUGCAAACACGAAAGUGGACGUAUAGGGUGUGACGCCUGCCCGGUGCCGGAAGAUUAAAUGAUGGGGUGCAAGCUCUUGAUUGAAGUCCCGGUAAACGGCGGCCGUAACUAUAACGGUCCUAAGGUAGCGAAAUUCCUUGUCGGGUAAGUUCCGACCUGCACGAAUGGCGUAACGAUGGCCACACUGUCUCCUCCCGAGACUCAGCGAAGUUGAAGUGUUUGUGAUGAUGCAAUCUACCCGCGGCUAGACGGAAAGACCCCAUGAACCUUUACUGUAGCUUUGCAUUGGACUUUGAACCGAUCUGUGUAGGAUAGGUGGGAGGCUAUGAAACCGGAACGCUAGUUUCGGUGGAGCCGUCCUUGAAAUACCACCCUGGUUUGUUUGAGGUUCUAACCUUGGACCCGUGAUCCGGUCGGGGACAGUGCAUGGUAGGCAGUUUGACUGGGGCGGUCUCCUCCCAAAGCGUAACGGAGGAGUACGAAGGUACGCUAGGUACGGUCGGAAAUCGUGCUGAUAGUGCAAUGGCAUAAGCGUGCUUAACUGCGAGACCGACAAGUCGAGCAGGUGCGAAAGCAGGUCAUAGUGAUCCGGUGGUUCUGUAUGGAAGGGCCAUCGCUCAACGGAUAAAAGGUACUCUGGGGAUAACAGGCUGAUACCGCCCAAGAGUUCAUAUCGACGGCGGUGUUUGGCACCUCGAUGUCGGCUCAUCUCAUCCUGGGGCUGUAGCCGGUCCCAAGGGUAUGGCUGUUCGCCAUUUAAAGAGGUACGUGAGCUGGGUUUAAAACGUCGUGAGACAGUUUGGUCCCUAUCUGCCGUGGGCGUUGGAAGUUUGAAGGGGGCUGCUCCUAGUACGAGAGGACCGGAGUGGACGAACCUCUGGUGUACCGGUUGUGACGCCAGUCGCAUCGCCGGGUAGCUAUGUUCGGAAGAGAUAACCGCUGAAAGCAUCUAAGCGGGAAACUCGCCUUAAGAUGAGACUUCCCCGGGGACUUGAUCCCCUUGAAGGGUCGUUCGAGACCAGGACGUUGAUAGGUCGGGUGUGUAAGCGCAGUAAUGCGUUCAGCUAACCGAUACUAAUUGCCCGUACGGCUUGAUCCU